AUGUUUAUGUGUUUGCUCAGGUCGAUUUCUCACUUUAUGUUCAUUGUCUCCUUUAGCGAGCAGAAGGAGAAGUUUCAGAGCUGUUUUAUUGCAGAUGGUGCCCUUCAAAGAAAGCCACUUAGAACCAGCCCAAAGCUCCUGUCCUCACUCAUCCUGACUAUAAACUCGCUGGUUGUCAUGCUACAUUCGGCCUCUAGAGGCGCUCCUCUCGGCAGUUGAAUUUGGGAUUGAGGCUGGGCCCCCUUCUGCCCUGACAUAGAGCUCAGCCUCCAAAGUCUAAGUCUCUCCCUUACCCUCCAGCUUUGUUUAGAAAGAUGAGCUCCAGGACUCUCAUGUCCUCUUUUCCGGGCACGCCUGAGCUGUUUCUUUGGGGCAAAACCACUGCAUUCAGUUACAAAACUACAGUUGAUACAAAACAGGAGAACUCCAUGGACCUAGACUUGGUGAUGGUGUCUUACACCAGAAUCCAAGCAAUAACAGAGACCCUGGACUUAAGAAAAAAGCCUUAAGCCGGCUGUGGUUGUGCUGACCUGCAGUCCCAGCGCUGGGGACAGGCGAGCAGGAAGAACAUGAGUGUGAGCCCAGCCUGGGCUGGAGAAGUGGCUCCUGAGGAAGAGCACUUACUGUUCAAACAGGAGGAUAAUGACCAUAAUCCCUGUGCCCAGGUAAAAAGCCUAGCGCAUCUGUGCUGUCUGUAAGACCACCUUUCUGUCCCUCGACAGAAAAUGUCACCAUCCCUUUCAUGCCUAUUAUGCAGACACUCUUCAUCCCUCCCCCAACCCCUGACAGUCUUCCCUCCAUCUUUACAAAUCAUCUGUUCUGGAUAUUUUGUGUAAACAGCACCAAGCAGUGCACACCUUCUGGGCCUGGCUUCUUUCACAUAGUCUAGGGUGCAUGCCAAGUUCUGACCAUUCAGCACUUUGUUCCUUUUUAUAACAGAACCAUGUCCCAUUGUAACCUGACUUUAGGUGAAUCAGCCUUCCCAAGAGGGCUGUCUCUUGUCCAGGUGAUUGACAGACCCAACUAAACUAAC
Molecule: long non-coding RNA, 1033 nt
Filed under: Mus spicilegus (steppe mouse)
Lineage: Eukaryota; Metazoa; Chordata; Mammalia; Rodentia; Muridae
Description: lncRNA (ENSMSIG00000025374.1)
Source: RNAcentral